Molecule: non-coding RNA, 72 nt
Organism: Phthorimaea operculella (potato tuberworm)
Lineage: Eukaryota; Metazoa; Arthropoda; Insecta; Lepidoptera; Gelechiidae
Source: the annotation of a GenBank genome assembly
GGGAUGUAGCACAGUGAUAGUGCGAGUGCCUGUAACGCAAAAGGUUCCGAGUCCGAUUCUCGGUGGGUCACA